RNAcentral lists this long non-coding RNA (40257 nucleotides) under Sorghum bicolor (sorghum). RNAcentral describes it as "long non-coding RNA (SBIC_LNC011143)". The record is from RNAcentral. Lineage: Eukaryota; Viridiplantae; Streptophyta; Magnoliopsida; Poales; Poaceae.
GGAGUCGGGCUGGUAGUACCGACAUGCGUCGAUAGUACCGACAGGCCAAAUUUGCGCAAGCUGUGAGGUGCACAGAAUUGACCUGUCGGUAGUACCAGCCUUUUGCCGAUAGUACCGACGCUGGCCGAUAGUACCGGCUCAAGCUCGGUAGUACCGACAGGCCAAUUUUGCGCACUUCCUUGAUGACUGUAGGAGACUUUCCAACGUUCAGAUCUGAGGGUCGGUAGUACCAGUGUUUGGCGUCGGUAGUACCGAUAGUUGUUCUGAACAUAUAUAUAAAUAGCUCUCUCUCUCUCUUCACUUCUAACCUUGCGCACUUUACUUCUAACAGAUAGUUGACUCCACUCUGAGAAAACAACCUCCAAGCUUUGACUCACCCACUCUCUCUGCCUCCUUGCUCCUAGGCUUCAAUCCUUGAAAGAUUCGAGCUAGAGAAGUGAGAUUUGAGAGUUGGGAGCUUUGAUCCGCGACUUGAGCACUUGGUUUCUUCGUCUUGCUGGUUUGUUUGCAUUUGUUACUCUUGGGUUCUUGGAACCCUAGCCGGCUAGGCAUUCUUUGUGGUUACCCGUGUUGAUUCAUUUGUGAGGACACCCUGAAGUGUUUGUAUCAGCCUUUGAUUCUUAGUGGAAAUCUCGAUCUAACCUUCGUGGUUGCUUGGGAGAGGAGACCUAAGUGGUCGGACCUUCGUGGUCGCCUCAACAACGGGGACGUAGGAACUCCUUCGUGAGAAUUGCUGAACCUCGAGAAAAAUAUCUUGUCUUGCUGUGGAGGUAGCAUCAACUACCCUUGUUCUUGUGUUCUUCGUGUUCUCCCUCUCUAUCUCCUUUCAUAGAUGAACAAGGCCCGAUCUAUGUUUUGGAGAAGAGCCAAGCCCAGGGAACUUCGACAUCAUCCUCUACUACAUCUAGGAGAAUGGAGUAACUCUGAGAUCUAAAAUAAAACUCAAUAUACUCCGAUUUCAUAGCUCUCUUAGGGCGUCGGUAGUACCAACAGUUUGCGUCGAUAGUACUGGUUGUCUUACACUAGUAGUACCGGCCCAAACUGUCGGUGGUACCAAUAGGCAUUUAACUUCCGCAACAUGAGUUCUUGAGUUUUAGGUUUUUAAGAUACGCAUAUUCACCCUCCCUUUAGGCCAAUUAGAUCCUUUCAAUAAGUGAACAUGUCAAAUUAUGAAGAGCUAGUAGAACUACAGUUUAACCGUUACUAAUGUGUUUAGGAUUGUGAAACAACUUUGACAAUUUCAAAUGAGUAAGAUAAUUUAAUUUUGUAACAUUUGAAUGGUUCCCCUAAGAUAUGUUUCGAGUGAUCCACAAGAAUCUGAAAACACUAAAUCUAUUUUAUGGACUUAAAUAAUGAUCAUCCUGUCUGAAAUGCUAGAAUGAUUGGUUGGAGAUUGUAUUUAUUGAAAAUGGUUUGAGUACUAUUCUUUUACAUUGUAAUUAUGUCUAUCAUCUCUGAAUCUAUAAUCGUCACUUGUGUGGUUGUGUUCCAUUACAAUCCUAUCGAUUGAUUCAAUAUCAUCAGUCAUCAUGUCUUAACAAGUAAAAUAUAUCAUACAGGUUCCUCGUGACAUGCAGGUGCCCCAUGAGGAGGUACAUGAAUGUGUCUCCUGGAUUCUCAAGAAUUAUGGUUUCUGUCCUACUGAAGAAGUCAUCCGUGUUGGAAACCUGUACCUUCUUACGCUCUUGCUUUCCUUCAGUGGUAGUAAUUUGUUACUCAAGUAUUCAUUUGUUUCUUCUACUUGUUCUUGAAGCUAUCGUUAUGUGAAUGUGUUAUCUAAAGAAGAGUCACCUUGCAAAAAUGGUAUGCAAGCAUUUUCUGAUCAAAAUCUCAUUCAAAUUUUGAAGAAAAACAUAAGACCCAAUGAUUUUUUUGUAAUGGGAAACAUGGGAUGUGAAUGCCAUCAUGGAAGCUAAGGGACCCCUAUGUCAUCUUGCUAAAGCACAAAAGGUAAAGGUAUUUCUAUGAUCCUAUUGUAUUUCCCCAUCCCUUCAUGCGUAGGACAAAGCCACUCAUCACCCCGUAUGUCUUGCUUACCAUGUUUUCAUUUCCCAUUUCAUUAGUAUUCACCAAUUUUAGGUCAUCUUUCCUUAUUUUGGUAGUGCUUUAUUAUCGUAAGAUUAUGGCCAGUUGUUAUUUUAUAUCUCCCGUGCAUCUUUUGGGUUUGCCAGAUUGAGUCUUCUUGGGUUGAAAUAUUUGUGAAACAAUGGCAAUUUUGCGACAAGCUAAUCUCUUGAGCCACCAGGAAUGUCUUGUUAUGCUUUUGAUUUGUGGAUUACUGAUUCAGCAGCUUAUGUGCUGCUUAAACAUGUUCCAAAGUACUGUCCUAUCAAUCCUAUAAGGUCUGAGUUUUGCAUGAAAAAACAAUGGGAUUUUUGCAUGCGCCCACAUGCAAAAGGAACAUUGCAAGUUGGGGAGUUUGUCAUCCGUUCAGAUCAUGAUCUUUGUCGGACACGCUUCAGUUUUAUGUAUUCUCUCAUAUUCCAGCAGUGUUCAUUUUUCCCUUUGACCAGUUGAUGUAGCACCAAGUUUGGCAGUCCAACAAGGCUCGGUGUUGUCUUAUAUCUUCAGUUCUUAUUGUAAAGUUAGGGUGAACGAGAUGACCCUUUGGGGCUCUCGGUUGCAUGUUAAUAUAUGCAGAGAAUAGCCCUCUGCGUGGCUUACAGCACAAGAAGAUGAAUUACAACAAACUCUCAAAGAUCUCAUCUAGAUAACCACCUAGCUAGAUACAUGCAUCAUAUCUUCUAGUACAAGUAGCUAGUACAAGUAGUUACAAGUCAUCAUAUCUCAACAACUAAUUCUAAUACUCCCCCUCAAUCUUAGCCACUUACAAGGUUAAGAUUGUUUCUGAAUUUUCGUAAAUGUGCAGCCGAGAUUGCUUUGGUGAAACCAUCCGCAACUUGAUCGCCAGAGUUAAUGAAUCGAAUAUCCAGUAACUUAUGUGCCACUCUUUCUCUCACAAAAUGGAAAUCAAUCUCAAUGUUUUGUUCUCGCAUGAAAAACUGGGUUUGCUGAUAAGUAUUUGGCACCUAAAUUGUCGCACCAUAACCUCGCAGCUGAUGGAUGUGAUAUUCCCAACUCACUUAACAGCUUUUGCACCCACAUGAGUUCUGCAGUGGCGUUGGCUAACGCUUUGUACUCGGCUUCAGUCGAUGACCUUGAGACGGUAGCCUGUUUCCUUGCCAUCCAGGACACAAGAUUUUUGCCAAGAAAUACUGCGAAGCCUCCUGUCGACCGUCGGUCAUCCACAUCGCCGGCCCAGUCCGCAUCCGAGAACGCACUUACUAGCAUCGAUCUUGACUUCCUGAUUUUGAGACCAUACUUGAUCGUUCCUCGAACAUACCUUAAAAUCCUCUUCACAGCGCUCCAAUGAACUGAAGUAGGAGCGUGAAGAAACUGGCACACCUUGUUCACUGCAUAGGAUAUGUCAGGGCGUGUGAGCGUGAGGUAUUGCAAGGCCCCCACCAAGCUUCGAAACCGUGUAGCAUCUUCUGAACCCAGCGCCUCACCAUCAGUGAUACUGAGUUUUUCCGCGGUAGCCAUAGGUGUUUCAACUGGCUUUGCCUUGUCCAUGCCUGCACGAGAGAGAACAUCAUUGGCAUAUCUUUCCUGAGUAAGUACAAGUCCUUCUGAUGACUUCUUGACUUCUAUUCCAAGGAAAUAAUGAAGAUCACCAAGAUCCUUGAGUGCGAAGUCUUUCUGCAAAUCCUUUAGCAGUACAUUGGUUCCCUCUUGUGUAGAACUGGCAACGAUAAUGUAGUAAUCGCCCCUACUAUAAUAAAAUAGUGACGCAUCAGCUUUAGAGGGAAUGAAUCCCAAUGACUGCAACCUUUUACUGAGUCUGGCGUGCCACGCUCUUGGUGCCUGUUUCAGGCCAUAAAGAGCCUUGUCCAGCUUACAUACAUACUUGGGAUGUUCCUUGUCUUCAUAGCCCGGUGGUUGGUCCAUAUAUACUUCCUCUUCCAGGAUCCCAUGGAGAAAAGCAUUCUGAACAUCGAGUUGACGUAAAGACCAUCCUCUGGAAACUACAAUUGACAACACAAGCCGUAUAGUCGCUGCUUUUACAACCGGACUGAAGGUGUCUUCGUAGUCAAGACCAUACCGCUGCUUGAAUCCCUUUGCUACAAGGCGAGCUUUGUAGCGAUCAAUUGAUCCAUCUGCCUUGCGCUUAACCUUGUAUACCCAUUUGCAUCCUAUCACAUUCUUCCCUUUGGGACAGGGUACAAGGUGCCAAGUCUGAUUCUUCAUAAGUGCUUGAUGCUCAUUGUCCAUAGCUGCAUGCCAAUUUCUGUCAUUGAAGGCUUCAGCAAGGGACGCAGGUUCCCCUGAGGCAGUGCUUGCAACCAUGCCCCACCGAACCGUUCCAUCAGUGUAUGUCUUGGGCUUCCUAAUCCCACGUUGAAGACGAGUCACCGGGCGCAGUGGAGGAGCUGGUGCGGCCGUAGAGGAUCCAGGCGCAGGAGCAUCUGGCAACACAAUCGUCAUGGGAUCCAGUGCUGCCUCUGUCCCCUGGGCGUUGGGAUCCGGCUGCGACACUGGGACCGGCGCCGUAUCAGUGUGUGGCACGGGUAGCGGUGUAGAAGAUCCAGACGGGAGAUGUACCUCCGCUCCAGGCGAGGACACGCGCUCCUGAGCAGCCGUACCUCGGACAGCAGGACGCGGUGAAUUAGCAUCAACUGCUGUGUUGUCCCCAGUUGGGACACACAUGAAAUGACGCUCGCCCAGCGCCGAUUCUGGAUCAGUUUUCUCCAUGUGUGCACCUGCAUUCAACGAGUUUCCUGCACAACUUGAUGAGGGAUUAGAAGGUAAUGAAGACUCAUUAUUUUGACCAGGCAAGUACGAUUCCCCAGAACUAGCGUUUGAGAGAUGUUCGGGCAAUAGUGCAAUUUCAGCGCGAAGUUGAGCGCCGGCGUUAGGAUGGAGCACUGCGAACGGGAAGACAUGUUCAUCAAAAACAACGUCGUGUGAGAUAUACACACGACCAACAGAGGGAUCAAGGCAUUUGUACCCCUUGUGCUUGUUGCUAUAGCCAAGGAAGACACAUUUUGUGGAGCGGAAGGCGAGCUUUCUAGAGGUAUAGGGCCGCAUAUUGGGCCAGCAUGCACACCCAAACGACCGGAGGAAGGUGUAAUCUGGUUGUUGGCCGUAGAGUCGGAAAAAUGGGGUGUCAUUAUUGAUAACUUUGGAUGGCAAUCUAUUGAUUAGGAAGACCGCAGUGGUGAAGGCCUCGUCCCAAAAUUUAAGUGGCAUGUGAGCAAGAAGGGUUAGCCCAACUUCAACUAUAUGUCGAUGUUUCCUUUCAGCUGCUCCAUUUUGUUGGUGAGCAUGUGGACAGGAAACGUGAUGGGAGAUUCCCAUGCGAGUAAAGAAGGGACCAAGAGCUUGAUAUUCCCCACCCCAAUCAGUCUGUACAGCACGGAUUUUUUGAUCAAAUUGUCGCUCAACAAGCAUUUGAAAAUCACGAAAACAUUGAAAAACUUCAGACUUUCGACGCAACAAAUAGAUCCAUGUGAAUUUACUAUGGUCAUCAAUGAAACUCACAUAGUAAUUAUUUCGACCAACUGAACUAGGAGCAGGACCCCAUACAUCAGAGAAAAUAAGAUCCAACACAUUAUUUGAAACACUAGAGGAUCUAGGAUAGGGCAAUUGAUGGCUCUUUCCCUUUUGACAGGCAUCACAGAUGCUAGCUUUAUUCGACUCUUGGAUGAAAGGAAGCUUGUGGUGGUUGAGCACGCGCUGAACAAUGGAUGAUGCAGGAUGCCCUAACUGAUGAUGCCACAAGGACGCAGGAAGCUUGGUUACUCCAAGCACCUCUUUAUUUGAUCGCACGGGGUAAAGACCAUCCUUACAUGGUCCGGUGAGAAGUAUUCUCUUCGUCUGCUGCUCCUUCACACAAAAGUGAUUGGGGUAAAACUCAAAGAACACAUUAUUAUCACGAGCUAUACGGUUGACAGACAGAAGAUCUUUGUGUGCAGAUGGAACAUGAAGAAUGUUUCUAAGAUGCAGCUUACUAGUUGGGGAACGUAAAAUGCCAUGACCAAUAUUUUGAAUCUCCAUACCUGAGCCACUGGCCGUGUGAACUUGGUCACCGCCGUGGUAUUUAUCGCGAGUUGUGAGCUUCUCCAGCUCACUCGUGAUAUGAUCGGUCGCACCGGUAUCCAUAUACCAGUUGGUGUCGAUGCCGUAUGUCGAGGAAGUAGCCGUGGACGCCAUCUUCUGCGGAGGCCCAGUGAAGUCACGAUCAAAUCGCUUGAAGCAGCGAUAGGCUGGGUGGCCUUCCUUCCCGCACACUUGGCAGAUGACUCCUGGUUGGAAGGUACUCCGGCCGCCGUUGUUGCCAGCACCACGGCCAAAACCGCCGCGGGAAUUGCGGCCACCUCCGUUCCUGCCUCCGCUGCCACGGCCACCAUUGCCACGAUGAGGAUGGCCACCGGUGCGAUUUCCUUUGGUUGCCAUGUUCACCGAGGACUGACUGCCCCCAUUGCGCAUGUCGAGGCGUUGCUCGUGACUGAUUAGCUGCGUAAACAGUUCGCUAAUGGAAAUUGGUUCCACUCGAGCUGCAACAGCCGUCGCAACUGGAUCAUAAUCUGGAUCCAGUCCAUUGAGGAGGUAAGAGAUCAUCUCCUCGUCUUCAAGUUUGCGCCCUGCCACCGCCAUCUCGUCUGCUAGGGACUUGAUCUUUGCGAAGUACUCGCUGACGGUGGAGGUGCCUUUAGUGGCAUUGGCGAGCGCCAUCCGGGUGGAGAUCACCUUGACGCGGGACUGCGAUGCAAACAUCGCCCCAAUGGCCGCCCAUGCACCUUUGGGCAUGACUUCAGUGUUGACAUGGCCAAGAAUCUCUUUGGAGAGAUUUGUGAGCACAUAGCUCAGGACCAUCUGGUCCUUGGCCACCCACGCGGCGUAGUCAGGGUUCGCCUUGGGUGGAUCUGCUUCCUUCCCUGCCUCAACCGGCAGGUAUUUCGCCGGCGGCUCAGCAGUGCUCUCCAACCAGUCGGCUAGUUGGGCACCUCUCAACGCCGACAGCAUUUGUGCCUUCCACGAUUGAUGGUUGGCACGAUUCAGCUUCUCGGUCACCGGAGGAAGAAAGGCGGCGAGCGAGAGUGCAGCAGAAACUCCUAAGGAGGACGAAGCGGAAGCCAUGGAAGCAAUCCGUGUGGAAGAAGGCUCUAGAUAUCAUGUAAAGUUAGGGGAACGAGAUGACCCUUUGGGGCUCUCGGUUGCAUGUUAAUAUAUGCAGAGAAUAGCCCUCUGUGUGGCUUACAGCACAAGAAGAUGAAUUACAACAAACUCUCAAAGAUCUCAUCUAGAUAACCACCUAGCUAGAUACAUGCGUCAUAUCUUCUAGUACAAGUAGCUAGUACAAGUAGUUACAAGUCAUCAUAUCUCAACAACUAAUUCUAAUACUUAUAUAUUCUUACUAUAUUCGUACUGCUUUCACUUUGCCCUUUGACAGGUUGUGUCCCUUUCCCCGUUGACUAGGUAUAUCUUGCAAAAAGAUUUGCCCUUUUGUUUUUGUUAGGUCAGUUUGGGCUGGAAAAUGAAUGGUAAGUUGUCUAGAUUGUGGUUUGAGUAUCAAAGGUUGGUUCUCUUUUGCUUGGAACAGUUAGUCUUGUCAGAUGUCGUAAGCUGCACAAAGCCCUGAAAGGCUAAAAUGAAUGUGUUAAUUUUGAAAAGCAUGUCUUAUGGCUCUUUCACUGCCAAAAUACGAAAUGUAGGUGGUUUUUUGCAUGCCCUAAUUUAGAGAACGUCACUCUAAAAAAAACAUGCUUUUGUACAUUUAUGCUGGUUUCUCUCUUUGCCUCCAUUUUCUUAAUUUGUUGCUAAGCACUUAUGUGUGAUGAACCAUCAACUGGCUCCUGUUUUUUGAGAGAAUUUAAUGGAAGGACACUUCAAGUCAAUUCGCUUCUGUGAAAACUUGGGGCUGCCAUAGCAUUUGUGUUCAGUCAAAACACUCUCCUCACAAAGGAAUGGAAUACCUUUUACCUUUGAUGACUAUAAAUAUCUAAAAAAAUCAUCGAUUAACAAUGAUUCAUUAUGAAAAUAAUUUCAUAAUGUCUGUCUGUCUGUCUGUCUCUGUCUGUCUGAUGAGCUCUCUUUGGGCCGAUGGUUAUAUGCCUGGCCCCUGUUUUAUAUUUGUCAAUGUGAUAUGAUUAGAGAUAGGCAAGGAUAUUGUUGAUGGGUGAUAUUUCUAUAAAUCAGUCAUAGGAAUUCUUGGUCCUUGCCUACAUGUAUCUGCUCUAAUCAACCUAAUUAUUCAUUCAAGAACCAAUUUGUCUUGCAUGGUAUCAGAGGGUCGAUCCUUACCCUAACCCUCUGCACAACUUCUCUUCUCUUCCCAUGGGGAUCAACGUGGCUGACGGUAGGCCUCCCUCGUCUCGUGCUGCUGUCCGGUCAAGCGAACACCUCACUGCCUGCCACUAAGAGUGAGGCCAAGGAGAACUGCGAGCGAGACGCCUAGGCUGCUCGUGACGCUGCUCUUGCUCGUGCCUAGGACGCUGGGUGCAAAGCCGCCGCCGCUGCUGCCAAGGAGCGCGACGUGGCUGCCACCCACGCGCGAGGUGCCCUCGUCCGUGCAUUGCGCAGCAGCUGCCUUCGAUCCACAUUCAGAUGACGAUGUAAUAAGUGAGCUAGUAAAAAAAUCUCCUUAUGAUCGAGUAGCUUUAGUGAUGUUGCAUUUUCUAUGAUUAUGAAUAUAGCAUCUAACAUCUGAGUGGGUGCUGCUUUGAUGUCGUCCCAUGUUUAAAAGGAAGUGUUUUCUUGGCUUGUCCAUACAGACACACCGGAUGUUUUGUAUUUUCUGACAUUUCCAUAUUUUAUUGAACUUUGACAGGUGAAAAAUAAGGGCAACUUUAGUGGUGAGUCGAUUCACAGAAGAAAAAGGACGCCCACGUCAGUUUUAGAUGAGUCGGUUUCUAAGCUAAGUGGACCCUAUGCACAAAUAAACAAAACUAUUACAUCUAUGUUGCCAAAUAAAAAAAUAAUUUUCUACUUGCUUUUGUCCGAUCAUUCUCUCAUCAGCCGUUCCUGCUUUUUUAUUUUAAUCGUUCUUGCCGGCAGUGAGUCGACUCAUGCAGGUGAAUCGGUUCAAUCUCUCUCAUCGAAUGAGUCGAUUGCUCCAGUGGUACGAGUCGACUCAUGGCUUGCCACCUCAUCCCAUGAGUCGCUUUUCAAAGCCCACUGGAGAAGCCCUAAAGGACCUAGAGGAUGGGAACUCAAGUAUGCAAGGAGAAGUUUUUUUUUUUUCCAUGUUGGAGAUCAGUAUUAUCAUCCCGAGUGCUUGUGAAUAAAUCAGUAGGCCAAGGAUCUUCCCCAGCUCCAGAUCUUAGUCUUGGUCUGUUGGAUAGGGUUCGGCAAUUAAGAAAUUUUCAACCCACAAGGACGUUUUGUAGUGCUGCAUUGCCACUGUUGAAGAUUUUGAGGAAUGCAUGAGCAGGAGGUAGGCCAUAAGUCGCUGCAGCUUAUUUGGCUGCAGCUGCAGCUGUGUGCCUGUGUCUAGUGUUAUCUAGAGCACACACGGUAGUUCUAUAUGGAAUAAACGGAAGGAAGGUCAAUAGGCUAAUAUUAUUGUUUUUGUUAUAAGUUUUAGUUCUUAGUUUUUCUUUGUUUGUAUCAGUGUGGAUCAAUAUGACUUUAUAUUAACUUGGAUACUCAGUUUCUUGGAUUAAAUUCUUCUAUUGACGUUAAAAUUGUUGUUAAUUUACAAUCUAAUUCCAUGUUGGUUAAACUAACUUGGUUUUGGUUCUUGGGAGGUAAAUGUUGUGCUGUUAGUCCAGUUUUAAUGAGGCCUUAUUAAAGUUUUAUGGACAUUAAAUAUGCUGAUAUAGCACCAUAUUAAUGAAGAGAGAGAUAAUAAUAGUUUUAUGAGAGUAGAGAGAGUUUGAUGGGGAUGAAACUCUUCUGCCCUAUUUCUAAAAUAUGGAUAUGUCUGAAAUUGGAUCACGAAGACUUCACUGAGGAUGGCUUUAGGAACUUUUUGUCUUUUGUUGUUAUUUUUCUUGUAUGUGCAGCUUACGUACCACUCUUUUUCUAUUGGAUAAAGAACAGGCUUCAACCAAAGAAAACUAGGUAGUACGUAUACACAGUCUUCUUGAAGCUACGACCUUGCAUAAUGUUUAACUUUGUGGUAUGCACGAAUGAACUUUAAAAACUAUAUAAGCGAAAGCCGCUUUGGUCGUGAUUAGGAUUGAGUUGGGCCAUCUUUUGGAUGCUUUUCCGGUCAAAGUGCGCAUCGAUGAGUUCAGUCAGGGCAGAUCAGUACGGCAUCGAGCUAAGGCCUUGUUUAGUUCCAAAAAAGUUUUGCAAAAUUUUUUAGAUUUUUCAUCACAUCGAAUCUUUAGACACAUGCAUGAAGUAUUAAAUAUAGAUAAAAAUAAAAACUAAUUGCACAGUUUGGUCGAAAUUGACGAGACGAAUCUUUUGAACCUAGUUAGUCUAUGAUUGGAUAAUAUUUGUCAAAUACAAACGAAAAAGCUACAGUAUCAAUUUUGCAAAAUAUUUUGGAACUAAACAAGUCCUAACUUAGCUCAAUCGGGGUUGUUUUGUUCCCUUGGACGGACGAGCCACAAGAGAUGGUUGGCGCAAAGCGUUGGGUGCGGCCAGCUCCUCGAUCAACCAAAAGUGCACUAACGCUAUCCGCGUACUAUAUAUAUUUCUUUCUUCCAUAUAAAGUGGCCCAAAUUGUCCGUGAUUUCACUCAAAGUGACUGCACACAAUGAUGCUCAUGCAUGCUGGUCGCGCAACAGGGGGAGACGAUGGCCGAGGUGGGGCGGGCAUCUCCAUUUUGCAUGAUGGGACUUGGAACAGAUUAAGGUCCAUGAUUUGACUGACACAAUGAUUAUUAUGCAGAUUUUUUUUCCCUUUCCAGACAAAUCUUCUGCCAUUAUAUUUAUGCGGUGUCGCUUCCGGUCUAAGAUGUGGAGUCCAUAAUAAAGUGACUUUUUUUAUCCAUUUUGUAGACGUGCGACUAGUAGUUUAGCUAUAAAUAAAUUUACCCGGCCUGUCAACAACAGUAUAAGCACAGAUAUGGCCUGUCAUUGGGGAAGCUAUUAUUGCCCUAUAUAUGAAGAAUCCGCCAUGCUCGCUGGGCACCAGCAUGCAUAUGUGCCAUUAAUCUGUGUGCCGGCAUCACAGAGAAUAUUUCGUCCAUCAGGUUAUUUUAAGCUUGGUCUCAGUUGGGUGCCUUGACUACAACAAACCAAUAAUGCAAUGUAACUAGGGUCUGGUUUAGUUUCCAAAACCAAUAAUUGGCCUAUCCAGCGCCUAUGCAGUAAAUUUCAGUCUUGUAUCUAUUUUUUUAUUAGAUAACUAGUUCUUGCUUGUACUAUAUGUUGCAAUCAUUUUCCUUGUUUUGCUUGUACUAUAUGUUCAUGCUUUGAGGGUCAGCUAGCUUCGUAGGAUCAUUUGGUAUUGAAAACUCUUGUCGAAUGGCGACGAAGAUAAAUGUGCAAAGCCGAAGACAAAUGCGUGAGGCCAAAGACAAAUGGCUCACUUGAGGAUAUGACAAAGACGAAGCUAGACCAACACGAAGUCAAUAUGAAUCCAACCUGUGUAGACCCCUUCGGCGUGCGAAGGCUCACCUCUUUCAACAAAGCCAAAGGAAUAAAUAAUUUUCGUUGUAUAAGGACCAAGUUGCCCCUAGCUGAAAUAGAGGUUAGUUUUGAGUGUAAUAGCAAAAUUAGGGGCAAAAGGGGAAUUGUAUAAAGUCGAGGGCUUCCCCACUAUAAAGAUCCCCUAACAUAUACAUUUUUUAGACAUGAAAUUUUUAUCGGUAAUGAUAAUGUGCGGGCGUCCGUCCAGUCCAGACGCCACGCACCCGGGCCUGCGGCCCAAUAAAUGAUGUUGCCGAACCAAUCUUAUCUAUCUCUGUUGUCCCUUUCCUCGAAUCGCACUCCUGCAGCGCUCGUGACGCUCUCCUCGCUCUCUCCUCCUCCUCCACUCCCUCGCUCUACUUGUGUGGUGUCAUGCCUCCCCUCUCUCUGUGACCUACAAGCCACCGGAGAGGAGGACGACAUCGAUGGCUUUCGGCGAGCUCCCUUCCUUCCUCCCUUCCUCCCUCCCUCCAUCCCUGCCCCUUUCGCAACCUUUAUAUCAUCAGAGAGGAGGGAUACGACGUUCGCUGAGUCGCGUCUUUCCUCUUUGUACCGCUUCGCGACCUCCAUGGAACCGGAGACGAGAACGACGGCGGUGGCUCCAAUGAGGUAGGUGGCGGAGGGAUCUAGAUCUGAGGCCUUCCUCCCCCUCUCUCCUAUCCUAGAGUCCUGGAUCUAAUCUGGCCCCUCCUCAUCUUCCUCCUCCUCCUCCUCUAGAUCUAAGGGAUGUGGUGGUGGCUAGGGUUUCGGUGAGCUCUUGAGGUUCAGCUCUCUCGUGUGUUGCAAUGGUGUUCUCCAGAUGUUGUAGCAUAUUUUCACUUGUUGUUUUAGUAGGCUAGGCUUCUGGCAAGCUCUCGGGUUCAGAUUUCACCUUUGUUGCAAUAGUUCCCUCUGGAUGUUGCAGCGGGUUUCAGUCAUUGUUGGAGUACUUCUUUUUUGAUAUGUUGUUUCAUUUUCUUCAGUCUGCAUGUUGCAGUAGUUUGUUGCCUAUUGUUGGAGCAGUUGUCGGGUGUUGUUGUUGUAGUAUGUUCAUUGUGUUUCAGCAGCUGCACCAAAUGUUUCAGCUAUUUUUUCUUUGUUUGUUUAUGUUCAAGGUGUUUCAACUUCAUCAUCCCAGUGUUGGAACUGUUGUCCUUUUUUGUUGUUGCACUGCUAUGCGUUCAUAGUGUUUUAACUGCUAUAAUUUAUUGUUACAGUAGUUCGUCGGGCGUGUUGCAAUAUCACGUUUUUGGUGUUUCAACGUCUUCAUCCUUAUGUUGCAGCGUGCAGACGAGGGAGGGGGAGGGGAGGGGAGCUGUGGUGGUGACUUUGCAGUUGAUUGGACAAUACUCCCUCCGUCCCAAAAAAAAGAGUGUCGUUUUAGAAUUUUAGACAUCUUAAUCAUUCGUCUUAUUUAAUUUUUUACAUAAAUAUUAUAUAUUUUGUUAAGACUUAUUUUAUCAUUAGAGAUACUUUACUAAUAAUUUAUUUAUUUUAUAAUUUAUAAAAAAUUUUUGAAUAUAACGAACGGUCAAACAUGAUGUCUAAAAAUAAAAAACGUUACUUUUUUUUGGAUGGAGUGAGUAUUUAUGAAAUAGAAACGAAAGUGCUACGGUGGUGUUUAUUUUGUAAAAAAAGUUUGUAAUUAAACAAGGCUCCAGACUCGUCUCUAUAAGGAGGUGCAUUUGCAGAGUCGCAGAGAACCAGAACCACACGCACACGGCGCUCCCGCUCCUCGUCCGCACCGGCGAAAACGUGCACCUACGGGGUCGUGUCGACCAAAGCAGGCACGGACAGACGCAGGCGCAGCCACACAGUCACACAACAGCCAGCGAGAAAGAAAAAAACGCCGUGCGACACCACACGUCCACACCAGCAGUCUGGGCCCAGUGCGGCGGGUUACGUCGCGUCGCGGACGUCGACCGACCGACCCCGUAUCGCGACGGCUUUGACCAUGGACCGACGACCGGGGCACUCCCUGCCUCACGCACGCACUGCUGGGCCUCCGAAUUUGCCCUCAUAAAAAACUUUUUAGAUUUAGAGACUAUAGUAUUUUUGUUUAUAUUUAUUAAUUAUUAUUUAAUUAUAAAUUAAUUAUAUUUAACAAAUUUAUCUUAUAAAUUAUAGAUAAGUUGUAUAAUUAAUUAUUUUUUUAAUUUAUAUUUAAUGUUCUAUAUGUAUAUAUUGUAUGAUUUGUUGUAAUGUGAAAUUUUUAAAAUAAAAAGAUUUUAGGUGAGACUGGACCAGGCAGCAGGGGGGAGUAGCCAGCCGGGAAAGCAACCUCUCACCCCGCCCCAUACGUCACCCUCAAUUUCUUCCUUUUGACUCCCCUACUACCUUUCCUGCCUGCCCUGCUUUGAACACAGCCCUCUUUUUCCCUUUCAUGUAUUCCACACCCUCUUUUCUAGUUUUUGACUAAAAAAAAGUACCUCAUGUUUGCAAAUAUGUGUCUUAUUCGUUUAGCUGAUAAGCUAUGAUAGAAAGUAUUGUUGGCUGAUUUAUUGUGAGAGAAAAACACUACUGAGUGGCUAACAGAUUCGGCUGAUAAACUCAAGAAAACGCUAAUGUGCUUGUAGAAUAAAAAAAUCGCAUUUGAGCUUGAUGAUGAUAAGGGGGUUUGUGGGUGCGAGGGGAGAUUUGGUAUGGUGUUACCCAUGUAGCCUCUCUGCAAUCAGAUACGGUGUUGAUAUAGAAUCUUAUAAGAUCAACCUAUGUAGCCUCUCCGCAAUCAGAUACGAUGCUGAUAUAGAAUAUUGUAAGAUCUAUCAAUGAGAACCACUUCAUACUAGUUUAAUCUAUCUAUGCUAAGUUAAUUUAUAUCAUUCUCACUAAGUUUUUUUUUUUGAAAAAAACAAGAAGCAUGUAUCAAUAUAUACAAGUUGAAAUAAACAUACUACCAAGACAUAUUUCAUGUAGAAUUUAAUAAAAGCUUAUUUGAUGAUGCGAAUAUUGGUGCAUUUUUAAUAUAAUCUCUCCACAUACGGAGUGUAUCUCCACAGCCUGGCACGCCGCUGGUUGCGUGGAAACACUAUGGACGUCACACCUUUGCUCCAAACCAAACAAUGCUACUUGGCUAUCAUGAAGUGUGGCGUGGCUGGUCGUGCCUUGCAACAAAACACUCUUAGAGUACACAUGUUUUCUACCAUUUUAUGUUAAAAUUGCCGAUUGGUAGAGCUCGAGAAGUUUAAUAUCAUGAAUUCACUAAGGUCAGUCUCAAUGCAUGUUUCAUGAGAGUGUCAUACACAUUAAAUAGGAUACCACAUAAGCAAAAUUGCUGACUUGGCAGGAUCAUUAAAUGAAGGAGUUUCAUCAGAUGUGAGAGGAGUUUCAUCCCCAUAAAACUCUUGUGGCUCAGUUACCUAGUUACUAGUAUUGUUAACUGUGUCAUUAAACUAUGCAUUGAGACUGGCCUAAUAGUGCCAUGAAUUCAAUACCACUAAAAGUUCGAGCCAAUAAUAAUUUUGGUUUUCUCCUUGAUUAAAACUCCGAGUUGCUAGAUGUUCUUUGGCGAGCAUAGAUGUUUUGUAGAAGAAUAUGGAACUCACAUGGAUUUUGUAUUUUGAUUUCUUGACUAUGUAAAUGUAUACGCUUCAACGCCAUAUAUAAGGAAAACAGAACCAAACAAAAAGGCUUUUAAGCGUGGAAGGAAAAUAUAUAGUGUUUGAGGGGUACACGUGAAGACUUCUCCCGGAGAGGGAAAAAAAAAUUGUAGUAACUGUUACGUUUGACACGAGCACGGUAGAGCCGAGCCGACGCGAGGACGACGACCACCAGUCCACCACCGUCGCUUUUCCUGGCCUUCCAUAUACCAGCACCCGCACCACCUCCACCUCCCUUUCCCUUUCUGGCCGCAUUCCCUCGUCCUCCGGCCGGCAGCCGUCGUCGCCAGCAGGAGCUUCCGAUGGUCCGGAAGGAGACGGCCAUGAGGCUGCCCCCGCAGCACCAGGCGCUGGAGGUCAAGAUCCCCAGCUUCUUCCGCUGCCCGAUCUCGCUCGACGUCAUGCGCUCGCCCGUCAGCCUCUGCACCGGCGUCACCUACGACCGGGCCUCCAUCCAGCGGUGGCUCGACUCCGGCAACACCACGUGCCCGGCCACCAUGCUCCCGCUCCGCUCCACCGACCUCGUCCCCAACCUCACCCUCCGCAGCCUCAUCGCGCACUGGGCCGCCUCCGCCGCCUCCUGCUCCCCCACCGCCACCGACAAUUCUUCGGCGACACGGACCUCUUCCCCCGCGAGCCUCGUCCGGCAGGUGGCUUCCGCCGGCGUCGACCCGUCCCCGGCCCUCCGCGAGCUGGCCGCCUAUCUCUCCGACGACGACGUCGACGACUUCGAAAAGAACGCGCUCUUGGGCGCCGGCCGCGCCGCCGAGACCGUCGCGUCGGUUCUCCGGAGAAGACCCGAGGAAACCGGCGUCGAGGGCGUGGAGGCGGCAACCAGAGUGCUGGCCAAGAUCUUGGCCUCGGACGGCAUCGACGACGCGAACAAGAAGCGGGUGGCCACCGGCCUCACCGCCGACGCGGCGGCCUCGGCCGCGUCGCUAGCGCGCGUGAUGCGCCGCGGUAGCGGCGGCCUGGAGGCGAGGGUCGACGCGGCGAGGCUGGCGGAGCUGCUGCUCGCCAAUGCCGCAGACGAGGCGGCGAAGGCGGCGGUGGCCGAGUCGUCCGAGCUGCUGGCCGAGCUGGUACGGCUCGUGGGCACCGUCGACGAGAAGGGCGCCCUGGAGAGGAACGCCGUGGACGCCGGCCUCUCCUGCCUUGCCGCAGCCAUCUGCGUCUGCGGCGGGUCGCGCCGCGCCUGGGCGCGCGGCGAGAUGGUGCGCCUGGGCGCGGUCCAGGCCGCGGUGCGCGCCCUGCGCGCCGCCACGACGGAGCCCGGCGCGUCCGCGAAGGCGCUCCGCGUGCUCGAGUCCGCCGUGGGCUGCGCCGAGGGCCGCGCCGCGCUGUGCGGUGACGCGGAGGAGGCCAUCCCGGCCGUGGUGGGCAGGAUGAUGAAGUCCGGGCGCGACGGCGCCGAGGCCGCCGUGGCCGUGCUCUGGGCGGUCUGCCACCGGUACCGGGACCGCCGCGCGGCGGACGCGGCCGCGGCGGCGGAGGGCGGGCUGACGAGGCUGCUCCUGCUGAUGCAGAGCGGGUGCUCGCCGGCGGCGAGGCAGAUGGCGCUGGAGCUGCUCAAGAUUUAUAGGGUGAACGCCAAGAGCUGCCUCGCCGGCUACGACUCCAAGACCACCCACAUCAUGCCCUUCUGAGGAAGCGAAGCGGACGAGAAUGGCUUGCCGGAAUCCUUCCUGGGCUAGCUGAUCAAAUGGAUUCGAUGAAUCGAUUAAAUUGCAGGCGAUGGUGUUCUUGUUCCUGUGAUGUUUCUUGAUAUUUUUUUCCAUUUUCUUUUGAUGUAAGUCGAUAGAGAAACAAAGAACAAUUGGUUCAUGGUGGAGGGGAGAAGAAUAAUAAUCUGUACAGUUCAUGGGUAGAGUUUUUGACAUGAUCAGAACAGGCACAGGGGACAACUUAACCAAAGAAUUGAUUUUUUAGGCCAAAGCAAUUGGAAGCGUUUGAUUAUUCCUCCUGAAAGAUUUGCGAAUUUUCAGAGAAAUGAUGAUCGACAGGAGAUGUGGAAUGAUAAGGUUGUUACUGGAAGCAAUAAUGCUUGUUGCUGCUCACAUCAAAACUUACGAAGAAGCUGAACGACGACGAUCACAUCAAAUGAUUUCAUUUCGAAUCAUUGGUCUGCACUUGUGGUAAUGCGUACGUACUAGGUUUUCAUAGAAGUGCUUAUCAGGCAACAAGUUGUAGAAUUGCCUAAUGCAGGAUGUCGUGGUCUGGACUAGAAGGACAGAUUACUCCUACAAAUCCGUAGUCUGAAAGCAAGAUCAACAAGACAUGGGUACAGCAUGCGCACUACUGGCCAUUAGGAUAGAAAAGCCUGGAUGGAGCACGUUCACGUUGCCGCUGACCAGAGCCCAUGAUGGAUUUGACCAGUGUAGCAUCACGUCUAGUUCACUCCACCCACUCAUGACUGACCCACAAGUCAUGAGACCAGAUGUCUUGGGUGAGCUCUAAGCAUAACCCAGCUAUGUAAUCCCAAAGUAUACUCAGUUUGUUUCUCGUCUUCACUAUUGGAAUAAUUUAUAGACCAGAGUGCUUGUCCCCAUGCCCAUCGGUAACCGGUGAAAGGAACGUUUUGUGCAUCAUGUUGCAUGUUUAAUUAGCACUUGAUCACUAGGCAAUCUUCGUGAAAAUGGGCCUAAUUUUCACACCUAGGAUCUUCCGGCUUAGUAUUGUACUCCUUCCAUCCCAAAUUGUAAGUUAUUCCAAGAAUCUUAGAGAGUGAAAUCAUUUUCACGUUUGACCAAAAUUAUAGAAAAAAAUACUAAAAAUUGUAAUGUAAAGUGAGUAUACUAUAAAAAUAUAAUUAAGAAAUAAUCUAAUAAUACUUAGUUCGUACCAUAAUAAUUAUCAUUUUAUAAUAUAAAUUUGGUCAAACUUAGAAAAGUUUGACUCUCCAAGAUUUUUGGAAUGACUUACAAUUUGGGAUGGAGGAAGUAGAUCGUACUGUCUACCAUCACAAUAUAAUUAAGUUCAUUAAUCAGAUACAAGAUCUUCAAUGUGUCAUUUUGACUACACUUAUGUAGGAAUAAAUAUCUUAUCUUAGACAAAAAGGGUUAUAUGCUAUGUUGAAUAUAUAUUAGUAUCAAUAUUAUAUUGUCAAUCUAUAUGAGUCUUUACACAUUGAUUGUCAAAUCUAGAAAAAAACUAAGAAAAAGUUUAGCUUAACACAAAUCUUGAUGUAGUCAUGUUUGUGAUUAGAGAAAGUAACUCCAAAAUGGUCAUUGAGUUAAAGAAAAGCUAAAGUCGUCAUUUACACUCAGGAGUCCGCACUCCGCAUCAAAAAACAUGCUUGCUGGGUCCUUUUUCCACCCGACAUCUAAGAGCAUGGCCAACAUAAGGCCUUGGGCCUUGUUUACUUCCAACCCAAAAUCUAAAAUUUUUUAUGAUUCUUCAUCACAUCGAAUCUUUAUACACAUGCAUGAAGUACUAAAUAUAACGAAAAUAAAAACUAAUUGCAUAGUUUGGUCAAAAUUAACGAGACAAAUCUUUUGAGCCUAGUUAGUCCAUGGUUGGACAAUAAUUACCACAAACAAACGAAAGUGCUACAGUGUCGCGAAAUUUUUCCCUUCACCAACUAAACACGUUGGUGUUGUUAAAUUUUAACUCCUAUCACAUAUUUAGAUAUAUGUAUGAAGUACUAAAUGUAGACUAUUUACGAAACUAAAAACACAACUAGAGAGUAAUUUAUGAGACGAAUUUUUUAAGUCUAAUUAGUCUAUGAUUCGAUACUAAUUGUUAAAUAAAACGAAAAUGCUACAAUAACUAUUAAGCUUUAACACAUCCAACCAUAUCCUAAGAUUUUUGGCCGCCUCAGAAUAAAGUUAACAUACACGUAGAAAAGAUGGAUGGGAGUCACUGAUCUCUCCAGUGCAAGCUAACAGGUUGGUUGAUUCUGCUCCACUGCGGCCUCACUUUUCCCUCCCAAUGUUCGCUCUUGCAUGCCGGCUCCUCUGCAGCCUUAGUAACUUGUUGCAUGGACGUAACUAAAGCAAAAAAAAAAAAAAAAGGUUGGAGGUCUCGGAGUUCUUGACUUAAAACUCACAAUGAGGCACUUCUUCUUAAGCAGUUACAUAGAAUUUUCAUUUGUGAUGAAGUUCCCUGUGUGCGUUUAGUCUGAGAGAAACAUUACUCCAAAGGGAGAUUGCCAAAUCAUACAAAGAAAGGGUCUUUUUGGUGGCAAGAUAUCUUGAAAUUGCUUGAUAAAUUUAAAGGUCUGGCCUCUGUUCAGAUUAAGGAUGGAGCUUUCUGUCUUUUUUGGGAUGAUUAAUGGGAUGGUUAACCUCUCAAACUUUCUUUUCCAGAACUAUUCUCUUUUGCUAAGAAGCCAGUUAUCUCUUUCAAGAGUGUACUUGCUGUGAGUCCUCCUUUUGGCCUUUUCAACUCCCCUAUCGGUUCAGGCUUUUGCUCAAUUUUAGCGCCUGUUUGGAACGUAGUUUUUUCAUAGGAAAAGUAAAGAAAACGAAAACGGAGGAAAGGAAAAUAAGGAGACCGUUUGGAACGAAGGAAAUGAAUGAAACCUUUCCUCCGGAAGACUGUAGCAACAACACGAUUUCACAGGAAAAAAAGCAUCUGCUCUCACCUCUUGUUUUGCUUUCUUUUGCGCUUGCCCGAGAAAAAUCAAACGGGAAGAGAAAGACGAACAGCUAAUCACUAUAAGAACGGAAUGCCCCGCUGCCAAAUCCGGCCACCACGCCACUGCUCCGCUCUAGGCUGGGGCCCGCUGCCUGCGCCUGGCACUGUGCUGCUGCUCCGCCCCAAGCGCGCAGCAGGCUGCUGCUGGUCGCUGCUCCGCUCUGCGUCACGCUGCCGAGUCCGCCGGCAUCAUGCAACUAACACAGUAUAUAUUAUCAUUUUAUUAAGCACUAACAAUGACUCUUUAUCAUUCACAGACUCAUGAUUCCCUUGUUAUGAAUUCCUGUGUUCCAAACACCCCUUUCAAGUUAUUUCCUGUGUUUUUCCUUUCCUCUGUUUUACCACUACAUACUACAUCCUAUUAGAGCAACUCCAACAGCUUUGCUAUUCUUAUUAUGAAGACCUUUUAGAACUUGUAUAGCAGAAAAAUAGCCUCCAACAGAUGUGCUAUUUGGUUUUGUAAAAUAAAAAGUUUGCUAUUCCUUGAUUUUCGUUGGCCAUAUAUAGCCAACCACUGACACUAGCUAUCUGAUAGCAAGGCUGUUGUAGAUCUCUUUUUUUUAAGAAGUUUUUUAUUUUACAAAAUGGCUAAACAUUAGAAUUUGGCAACUAAUUUUAGCCAAGCUCUUGGAGAUGCUCUUACUGUGUUUUUUUCCGUUCCUCCGUUUUCUAUUCCUGCGUUCCAAACAGGCCCUUAAGAGUUGCAAGAAAUCCUGCAGAACUUAGUGCCCAGCAAUGAUUUGGAUACUUGGUACUAUAUUUGGGGAAAUACUUCUUUUACAUCCAAACAAGCCUAUAUUCAUCUAAUGGAAGUAAUGUGGUAGCUCCAAUCUUCAGUUAGAUCUGGAAAUCCUCUUGUCAGCCAAAGCAUAACGUGUUCUUCUGGCUCCUUGUACAGGAUAGGGUCAGUACCAGAAAGUUAUUGAGAAGAAAGCAUAUGUUCCUCCCUUCCUAUGAUUGUAUCUUGUGCAAUGCAAGUUUUGAAGAAAUUGUGGACCAUCUACUCCUAGAAUGUAGCCAUGCCAGGGAAUGUUGGGCCUAGAUUGCCCUAACAGUGAUUAGCUCACCGGACCUGAUCCAAAGAUUUGAAAGCUUUCAAACACAAAUUGCAAAAAUAAUUCUUCAUGGAAGUAAUUAUCAUCAUGUGCUGGAGCAAUUGGACCAUUAGAAAUGAUAAUAUUUUCAAAGGAAUCCUAGCUUGCAGCCUUCGAGACAUAGAAAUCUUCAAAAACAUCUUCAAACAACUCCUAUGGAGAACAAAGAGGAAAUAUUUUCCAGCUAUUGAGUUAUGGCUAUAGCAAGUUGUGUAAUUGCCUUAAUUUUUUUGUUUCCUUCUUUGUCCCCUGAACCCCAACCUCUCUCUCUCCCUUCUCCUUUAAGCUUUUGUAACUUCUCCUUGGUUAUAGUUUUUUUAAUAAAUUCUUCGGUAGAGGUCCUCCUGAGCCUCUCCUGUUUGUUUAAAAACACAUUAGGCCUGACGUGGUGUUCUCUUACUAAGCCUUGGCAAGGGAAACGAAUUCAUGUAUGUAUGCUUCAAUUUAAACAGUUAACAUCUCGUCCUAGUUGUAGCUUAGCUGCUUAGCGCAUGUUGUGAGUUAGUGCCACAUUGUUCAACCUGAGUAGAGGGCGACGGGAGUGAGUUCUUAGUAGGACCUAGGGCAACAUUUGUAGUUCAAUUCAUCCAUGCCCUUGGUCAUUUUGGUUGAGACUGAAUUGAUUUACAAUUAUAUAUACUCCCUUCGUCCUGGAAUAGAGUACAUUCUGGCAUUUGAGAUGUGUCCCCAAAUAUAGUACAUUCAAGGAACAAGAAGAUAAUCUUUACUUAAAUAAAGUUAUGGAAGAGAAAAGUGAUUGAGUGCAUGCCAUAUUUUCUAUAAGAAAACUUAGAUUGCACCCCUUAAUCAUGCGAAUAGGAUCAGAUUUCAAUAGAUUAGGAAGUUAAGUAAGGAGCACAUGUGUCUAUUGUCUUCUCUCUUAUUUUAUCUUAGAAUAGUCACAACGCACAGUAUUGCAGGACGGACGGAGUAGAUAUAGAUAUAGAUACAAAAGAUGUCUUUUUUGGCUCAGAAAAAGAAUUAAUUCCUUUUUAAAUUAAAGGUUUGAAUCCUUAGAAAAACCGAUCCAAAACAAUGUUUUAUAGGUGUCCGAUAUUAGUUAGAUAUAUUUUAUUCAAUUUUUAGAUAUAUGUUUUUUGGGUAUAUUUUAUUUGUAUAUCUAAUUUUUAGAUAUGUAAUAUUGGUAAUAUUUUAUUUGUAUCAGAUACCCCACAAUGUAUCUGGAUUGGAUUUAUAUCUGCUAAUAAUAUCUAAGAAAAAUAUCUAAAUCAAUAUUAGAGACUCUUUUGGAUGGUACUAAAGAAAAAUUUGUACCAUUUACAUCCUUGGCUUCACCUACCAUUGCAACUUUGGACACUAUUUUGUAUUAUAUUGCUUUUCUAGCAAAAAUGGCUCUGGGUUUACCAUAAAAAAAUGAACUACCGACUUGCUUGGGACAGAAAUAAUUUGUUGAUUGUUGUUGAAUAUAUUUUAGAGACUCAAAUAUUCAAUUUUAAAAUUUAGGUUUUCGAAUCUUUGAAAGGAGGUCGGUUAUCGAUAGUAUGUGUCAAAGUUGUGGUUUUAGUAAGACCUAUAACUUUAUAGCUGGCAACUUUUAAAUCUGAAUUCAUUGAGAGACUUAAAUAUUGGUUUUAAGUUCUAUAAUCCUGAAAAAAAAAAUUGAAUUUUUCGAAUGAUCUCACGUGUUGGUUUGGUCCACACAAAGUUGUAGCUCUCAAUACGUUAUUCAAUUUUGUAGUUAAUAAUAUCUUUUGUAUCUAGAAUCGUUUAGAGACUCAAAUUUGCUGCGGCGCCAUGUGCCAUCCACAGCCUUUAUCUGAUACUCAAGAGAUAGCCCUAUUGCUAUAUGCUAGUUUUUUCUUGCUCUUCACUGCGAACCUGCGUCACUUUUCUUGACUGAUGAUGACUAAAGCUCAAUCUGAAAUUGUAUUAUUGUUGGAAGGAAUCUCUCUGUAAGACACAAAUGUUUCAGUAACAAAAAAUGAUGGUACGGAAUCAUUCAGUAAACACACACCAACCUAAAAAAAAUAUGGCGCUUCUUCUUCUCAACGAUGAGUCUAACUGACGAGAUAUCUUGUCAAAAAAAAAAAACUGACGAGAGAUAAUAAUAUGUAGUGUAACUGUGUACCUGGACCUGAAGAACUUUACAAACCUCCAUUCUAGUGUAGAAAACGCAUCAAUUGUACAGUAUGUUGGAGAAAAAAAAAGAUUUAUGCACCACUUUUUACUAAAAAAAUAAUCUAUGACCACCAAAUGGUAUAGUUAUCCGCGUAAAGCUUGGGCUGUUUGUUUGCAGCAGACUGAGAAGGGGAAGCAGGAAGGAAGAACGAGGCAGACAGAGGUAGGCGAGGAAGGAUUCAGAGAGUUCAAUUCAGAGUUUUCUUAUUCGAUGCUUACGACUCACGUCUCUUCCCUGUUUAAAAAGUUUAUUUUGCCUUCCUCAACUAUCGUAAAAAUCAGUUUUUUCUUCAUCUCUAAACCAGACAUAGUUCCUCUCUCAUCUCUCAAAACCAGUCACUUUACCUCUAUGACUGUUUCCAUUGGUGGUUUUACUAUUUUAUUUUUAUGUUUAUUUCGGCUCAAUCUUCGAAAAAAAUUAUAAAAUAGAAAAAUUCAAUUGUGUUGGACUCUACAUGAGUAGAUCUACAUAGUGAGCAUAUGAUAUGAUAUGCUUUAGUAUAAACUUUUUUUUUGCUAAGUUACAGUUUAUCUUGUCCAAUUAUAUGAAACUUUUAUGUUGGAUUAAUAAUUUGCGUGCUUGAGACGUACUAAAGAAAAUCACGCCCGUUGGAUCAUAUAUGACUAAGUUAUAGAUUUAUCUUUUAAUUUAUCUAGGUUUAUAUAUAUAAAAAUAUAACUCAGUCAAACAUGAUCCAUUAAGUAUGAAUUUUUUUCUACAUCUCAAUAAUUCAAUGAUGAGCCCACCAUAAACAUUUUGCCAAAAAUCGACCAUAGAAAUUGGAGCUAUGAAUUAAUUACAAAAAAGUAUAGAUCUAAAGUUACAACAAAAACUUUAUACUAAAACAUACUAUAGUGUAUGUCUAUUGUGUAGAUAUUAACAUGUGGAGUCUAAAAAAAUUCAUACCAUUGGAUCAUGUAUGACUGAGCUAAAGAUUUAAUUUAAUUUAAAACUUAUUUAACAAGAUACAUCUAUAACUCAAUCAUGCAUUAUUCAAUGAGCAUGAAACUUUUAUUGUGGCUCAAGAAUGCAAUUAUUAGCCCACCAUAAAAAUUUCACCAUAAUUAGACCACAAAAACAACAGCCAUGAAUUAAUUACAAAAAACAUAAAUAUAAAGUUAAAACAAAAAAAAAUUAUACUAAAGCAUACUCACGUGGAAUCUACUCACGUGUACUAAAGCAUACUCACGUGGAGUACCAUAUCAUAUGUUCAUUGUAUAAAUCUACUCACGUGGAAUGCAACAUAAUUGGACUUUUCGUUUUACAAUUUUUCUGUGAUUUAGUAUGAUUUUUUCAAAGAUUCAGCCGAAAUAAACACAAGAGAAGUGACUAGUUUUGAGAGAUGAAGGAGGAACUAGUCUGGUUUUAGAGUUGAUGAAGAAAAACUGAUUUUUGUAAUAGUUGAGGGGGUUAAAAUGGAGUUUUUCGUUUCCUAUUACAACACUCUGGGCCGGCGUAGCGGGUGUUGAGCCUUAUCUAGCGCUUGGGCCUGGCAGCAGAAGUCAUGCAUGACUCUGCUGUCGGGCCAACAACCCAACAGAAUGGCACUACACUUUCAGCGGAUAUUGGGCCAUCGGAUUAACCGGUCCAAUCUGCUGCCAACAACAACAACAACCACCACGGAAAGUGACCAAGUUCCUGCGGUGUUGGGCCAGCCAAGUCGUCAGUCAGUCCAAUGGUGUGGGCUAGUCCGUCUAAUGGUCAGUCAGUCACAGUUAGACGUGGCUUUGUUCCCUUAUCUUUUAUACCUCACAGUAUUCUUCUUUCACGAUAAAUCAGCGAACGCUCUCUUUUAGCUAUAACUUUUCAGACAAGCUAAUACAUGUCUCCUUGCUACUCCUUCCUACACGCUGGAUUCAUGACGCAACGUACGGGAAAAAGACGCAACUCGCCAGCACGUCGCUCAGGAAUCAGGAGCAGAAAUGUCAACAGGUGUAGUAACAAAUUAAAUUACUGAUGAGAGCGCACUGGUUGUUCGUCGCACUAUGCAGAGCUCCCCGCUUUCAUCUGGUACAGGCGAGUGCAUAAUUUUACAUUAAACAGACAGCCCUGGGAAUGUGGCAUGGGUAGUAGCUAGACUCGUUCCGUCCAACAGCACUGCUGCAUCCCCGUGGUCAUCGUGUACUGCGUAGUGUAGACUAGUGGUAAUUACUAUUCUAAUGGAAUAGUAAUUGAACAUGCGAAUCCAAUUUGUACUCGCCAAUACCAAGUCAUCUGACAUCCCCCAUGCCUGCUUGCGUUGAAACCCGAGAUCGGCUCUCAAGUAGGCGUAGUCCCGACUGAGAGGUAUGGACGGAUCGACUAUGGACAGAGGGAAGAGGGAGGCUUCAUCAAAUUUACGCAGUGUAAAUACUGGUGAAUAAUAACCCACGACACAGCCAUUAUGUGCACACGGUGAAAACGGCGAGUGUGCUCCGCAUUCAUGCCCAGCCUAAAUAAACAGUGAAGUGGUCCUGCUCGUUGUGAUGACGAGGCUUCCUAUAAGUACCAGUACCACCUAGUAGAUGCUUAUCUGACUGGCCGUAUUCGUGGGAGCCAGAUUCAGUAACUUUACAGAGCAAAGUCACGUUGUAACUUUCUUUGAAUCUCCAUCCUCCAGUUAGCAUCGGACGGCUACAAUACUUCUUGAGGCCCAGUUCCGUUCCCGCACGAAAGCGGCCGCGCGCCAGAGUCCGCAGGAGCGCCGUCGCCCGUCGCCAUCGCUAUCACGGACGGCCGCAGCUGCCACCAGAAGCCGCACCCACCGCCAGAGCCUGUAGGAGUGCCAUCGACCAUCACUGUCGUGGGCAGUGCGUGCAGCAUUGUGGAUGCCGCGGCCUCAACCGUGUCGCUGGCUCGCGGAAUGCGCGAUUGGAGCGAGGAUCGACGUGGGUAGGCUGGCGGAUUUCUUGCUCGCCAAUGUGGCCGACGACUCGAAGGCAGCGGUGCCCGGCCGAGUCAUCCGAGCACUCCUACAGGCUGCCAUUUUCUAGUCGCGAGUGCGCGGCGAGCGUCGAGUGAUGCGCCUGGCUGCAGCCCCGGCCAUGGUGCACGCCACGACGGAGCUCGGCCAGUGCUGCUACUGCUGGUGCAAGAGCUCGCCGGCAAGGGGACAACAAAUAACAUGGCCACCAGGUUCGUCGCGUAUGCAAGAGUCGCCAUGCCGAUACAUGCCAUCGACUUGGUUCUUGCCUGUUCCGGCCAGGCGACAUCCUCACCUUCAUGCUCUGUCGUCGCCAGGACGCAUCCACGUGCAUCCAGCAGGCAGCUUCCCAGGUUAAAAUGGCCAAGUUCAGAGAUUGCUUUUGCUUGAGAUCACUAGGUCCAUUAGAUUUUGAAUGGACGCACCAGAUGAACGGAAAGUUACAUCGUGACUUUAUAGAGUAAAGUCACUGAAUCCAGCUCCUCGUAUUCGUGAGCUUCCAGAGAGGUCCAUUAUUUUCAGGAUCACCAGCACCCCCCUCCCGCGUGGCUCCUACAGUAGAAAGCCCGUACACCACGUACGCCGCCGAAUCAUGGCGCGCGUGCUUUGCGUCAAAAGCAAGGGCUCGCUCCGUCCUAUCCUUUUCCUAUCUCGUCAGUCAUCCAUGCCAAUCAGAUCCAUCGCAGCAGCUAGCAUCUCCAUGCAUUUGCAUUUGCAUCCACGAGCGAGAGCGAGACCAUGCAGUGCCGGCCCUGAAUUUUUUGAGGGCCGGGGCGGAAAAAAAAUCUGGGGGCUUUAUACAUUAUUAAGUUCCCAAAAACCAAAAAAAGUUUAAAAUUUUUCGUCACAUCAAAUCUUACGGCACAUGCAUAAAACACUAAAUAUAGUCAAAACCAAAACUAAUUACACAGUUUGCCUGUAAAUCGCAAAAUGAAUCUUUUGAGCCUAGUUAGUCCAUGAUUGGACAAUAAUUGCCAAAUAAAAACGAAAAUGCUUCAGUACCUAAAACAAAAAAAUUUAGGAACUAAACAAGGCUUAAGGAAAUUUUUUUGGUUUUAGCUACUGUAGCACUUUUGUUUAUAUUUGGCAAUUAUUGUCCAAUUAUAGACUAACUAGGCUCAAAAAAUUCGUCUCACCAAUUACAGGUAAACUAUGUAAUUAGUUAUUUCUUUUAUCUUUAUUUAAUGCUCCAUGCAUGCGUCUAAAAAUUCAAUGUGAUGAGAAAUCUUAAAAAAUUUUAGAAACUAACAAGGUUGUAGUUGUUGUUAUUCUAGGCCUGAUUGGUUCCUCUCGCUAAAUUUUAGUCACUUUAAUAGCUAAACUUUCAAACACAUUAACUAAAAAAGAGCUAAAAUAGUUUAGUUACACAAGUCACCCAAGAGUAGCUAAAAUAGUUUUAGCUGGCUAAAAUUUAGCAGGAGAAACCAAAUAGGGCCUAAAUAUUCUACAUCGUAAGCCAAAACUAAGCAGAAAAAAUACAGAAUAGUAUUGAACAACGUUGAAUAUCAUUGUUUAAUAUAAUAGUUCGGAGGUGUAGAAUAGUACUUGUAUAUAUAUACUCAUAAAUACUUAACUCUACAUGCAAAAGCAAUAUUCAUAUGCAACAAUUUAUAUAAAUAUACAAAUACAUUAAAGAUUAUUGUAUGGUUUGCAUAUUUGGGGGUGGGGCCCUGUCUAAUUGGGGGCCAGGGCGGCCGCCCCGCUUGCCUGCCUCCAGGACCGGGCCUGAGACCAUGCUAUAUAUAUAUAUAUAUAUAUAUAUAUAUAUAUAUAUAUAUAUAUAUAUAUAUAUAUAUAUGCAGAUUUGUGUGCCAGCUAAGCCGGCAGGUGGCCUGGCCCGAUACGGAACAUCUGCGAGCCCUGUAGAUAUCCCGGCUGACAGGUGGAGUCGAGUCCAAUCUCCGGAGAUUAGCGGGAGAUGGAUGGAUAACCUCGUGGGAUCAGCGGCGGAGCCAGGAUUUAAAUCUUGGGUAUUCCUAGUGUCUGGUGGGCCACCACUCAGUUGUUGCCUCUAACCUCAUGACCGACGUAUGUCUUCACCGGUCGCCAUGUAGACAUAGCAUAGAGACAGAGGCCGCGUCCGUGCUACACGCUUCUAGGAUGAGAGUAACUACACGCGCGUGUAAAAGAAACGCGUCCUAUAUAUAUAUAUAUAUAUAUAUAUAUAUAUAUAUAUAUAUAUAUAUAUAUAUAUAUAUAUAUAUAUAUAUAAAAUAGGGUGAGUUUUCUAUACUCCUAGGAGGAGUAGUUACUCCCACUAUAUUUAUUGGGUAUAUGUCCAUUAUCAAAACCCGUUAAAUACUCCUGCACUUUUGUGUAGUUGUUGUGCCCGCUUGCAUGCGGACGAAGAGCCACAAGACGUUACAUGUCCAUAUUUUGUGGCGUAUGUUUGUUGCUUCUUUCAAAUAAAAUAAAAUGGAUACUAAAUUCUUUAUUGACGUAUAUAUUUUUGUGUAAAUAAAAUAUGGACACUAAGAAAAUUUGUAUACUUAUACUUGGGAGUAUAUCCAUAUACUUCGGAAAUUAUUUUAGUAUAUCCAUAUACUCAUGGAAUUUUAGUAUAUCCAUAUACUUGAGCGUAUAUUUGGGAGUAUGUCCAUAUACUAAUGAGAUUUUAUUAUAGAGUAUAUGAACUAUUUAUAGGAGAAAAAAAUAGUAUGCUAAAUGUGCACAUAUUUUUUUUACACGAGUAGUUCGCAAAUAUUGAUAUGAGUAUACUAGUAUGCGUACAGACUUUUGACAGGAGCUGGCCGUGAGUUUCCGUCCCGAUCGGAAGUGACGGAUGGGGUGAAGCAGAUCUGAGAUCUGCUAGCUAUAUAUGUACGUAUUUAUAUUCAAUAUUCAAAAUACGAACGGGUCCGUUUUUUUUCUUUAACCCGCUAACGAGAACCCAGCGCCACGUUAGAGCAACUCCAACCAUUAUGCAAAUGGAAUUGACAUUUACCAAAAUACAUAAAACUCCAAAAAAAACCCCUCCAAUCGUUAUGCAUUUGGACUUUGCAUUUUACAUAGCUAUGCAUUUGGAGGGGGAAACUUGGCAUAUAUGCCAAAGAAGUCCGGCUAUGUAAAUAGAGAUCACGGGAUUCUCGGUUCCACCUCGCAGGCUUUUUUCUUCCCUUCGCGCGGUUUCCCUUCGCGCCGCCACCACUUCGCGCGAUUGGAGAAGCAUCGCGCGUCCUCCUUCGCCAGCUUGACUGAUGGCGGCGACCUGAUGGAGAUCGAUACUGGAGCCAAGGGGCGAACCUAUACGACGACAAACUGAUGGCCAACAGACGACGAACUGGUACGGUGAACGAGAACUAACGGAACGGGAGAUCGGUACUGCGAUCGGUACUGCGAACGGGAACGACGAACUGCGCAGCUCACAAUCGGUACUGCGCGGCUGUUUGGCGCGGGAAUUGGUGAACGGGAGACGACGGCGGGCUGUUUGGCGCGGGAUCGAUUGACCGCGCGGGAAGGAGUGCCGCGAAACAAAAUUUUCGGAAAAAAAAAGAAGAUGGACUCGGCAUUUUGCAUAACGGUUAGAGAUCACCCGAUUUUAGCCUUGUUAUUUUUAUUUGGGGGUUUGCAAUUUACCUAAAAUGCAUAACUUCAAAUGCAUAAUGGUUGGAGAUGCUGGCUCAGUCGUAUAAAUCUAGGUGGGAGUAGCUACUACCAGGGAGUAGGAAAAAUUUACCAUAUAUAUAUAUAUAUAUAACCUAUUCUACACCCUAGGUGUAGAAUAUUAUUUUACACCGCAAAUCAAAACUGAGUAGAAAAAAAUACUGAGCAACACUGAAACGCGUUCAGUAUCAUCUAAUACUACACUCAGGACCACGAAAUACUGAACAAUACUGAAACGCGGAUACUGAACAAUACUGAAUUCUGCUCAGUAUAACAGUUUGGUGUGACGGAGAAUUUUGAAAAUUUUUACGAACUAAACAAAGCCUAACUUUGCUCGAAAUGACCAUACACUUCGUAUAAAAUACGUCAUGCUUUGCGCUUACCAAAGUUUCCCUUUUUUUCACUGGGGUUAGGCCUUGUUUAGUUUACUCUGAAAACCAAAAAUUUUUCAAGAUUCUCCGUCACAUCGAAUCUUAUGUCACAUGCAUAAAACAUUAAAUAUAGACAAAAACAAAAACUAACUAUACAGUUUAGCUGUAAAUCACGAGACGAAUCUUUUGAUCCUAGUUAGUCUAUGAUUGGAUAAUAUUUGUUACAAACAAAUGAAAUGCUACAGUACCGAAAACUUUUCACUUUUCGGACUAAACAAGGCCUUAGUAGAGAAAAGGCCUCUCAUUCGAUGAGGAACUUUCUAGAAGUACGCGAGAAUCUCAUCUGCUCGAACGAAAGAAUUACAUACACCAAGUGCCAAGGACAGACAUAUACAUACUAUAAUAUGGAUUGUCAUGUAUGCCCAUGCCAGGAGGUGGGUUGAAAAAUUUCACAGUACAAUCAUGCAUACACUUAAUAAUGGUAUACAAAGCAGUACAUAUUUGAUAUUUUGCAGUACAGAUCCAGAACCAUAGCACCGUAGCACGUGCCCUCGGCCUAAUGUUCCCUUAAAGGAACUAAAGAAAAGCUCUGUUAAUUGCAGUCAUCACACAUUCUCACUGCAAUGCAAGAUACUGUGUCACAGUCAACCUUUUUCUUGUGUGCAGGCAAUGCACGGACCCACACACUGCACUCGUAAUUUAUGUAACACUCUCGUGAUGGUCAUGCAUGUUACUAGCAACUUAUGUGAGACUGCAAAUCUCUGCAACACUGCUGCAAAAGGGUUGAAAAAUGAAAAGCAGACCUAUGGGAAUGUGCUUUCAUUUUCAUAUUCAUGAUAUACUGGCAAAGCGAUGCUAUUUUCAUUGUGGCCUUGCAUGUGCAGCGAGGGAGCACCUUUCAAUCGCAGUGGCACCCAACCAACCAAGCCUUGCCAUUUGCCAAACCAUAUACCUUGCGGUAACAUUGCUAUGAUACUAGCUAGCUAGCUGGCGCGCGAGAUCGAUCUUUUUCUUGCCAUUUCAGGGCACCGAGACGUGCAUGCCAAACCUAGCUGAGCAACAGCAACAGCUUUGGAGGUAUAUAUAUGUAGUGAACCAUGCAUGAUACCAAAGAGCUGGCUAUAGCUAUUCAGGCCUUGUUUACUUCAACUGAAAAACUAAAAAGUUUUUCAAGAUUCUCCGUCACAUCGAAUCUUGUGGCAUAUGUAUGAAGCAUUAAAUAUAGACGAAAACAAAAACUAAUUACACAGUUUGUCUGUAAAUCACGAGACGAAUGUUUUGACCCUAGUUAAUCUAUGAUUGGAUAAUAUUUACCACAAACAAACGAAAGUACUACAAUAGUAAAAUUUAAAAAGUUUUCACAUCUAAACAAGGCCUCAGUCGUCUCCUUGGUGUGAAAUGGAUGAAACUGUAGGUGUUCUGUAUGCAUGCAUCAUAGCAAGAUAUGUACUAGUUCCUAUUGCUGAUGAGCUCACUCGAGCAGUCGAGCUGCAUUGCUGCAUGUUACAAAAAAGAAAAAAAUCUUCAGUCGGUUCAUCAGUCCCGUCUCACCUUGCUAAGGCCACAUUUGGAACACAGAAAUCUCACAAAACAGCAGAAAAGGAAAACUAUAGCUAAUACGACGAAACAUUUGGAACACAGAAAAUCUCAAAAUACUUUAUUGUACAUGAAACAGGUUACGCAAAAAAAAAAAAACUAUAGCUAAUACGACGAUUCCCACCGACAGGAUGCAGGUUACCGAGACACAGUCUUAUGUAACCCUCGGAUAUUUUGGUUCUGGAAGUACUGAUGGUGUCCGCCAAAACAAACACUCUAGUGCGUGCCGCUGGGCGAUUUUCAGGGCGGUGUUUGUGCCUGUGCGUGGCCACACCAAUAAAGACGAGCUGAACAUGAGGAGGACGAGAGCAUCUCGAUCUCGAUUUCCGGGGAAAUGAUCGAUUUCGCCUGUUUUCCUGUGGUUUUUGUUCGGCGGACGGACGGGGAGGAGGGGGAAGAAGACAACCGGCUCAGCUUUUUCAGCGACGAUCAAAAAUGCCUUUGCUCUUUUGUCAAAAAAAAAAAAAAGCCUUUGCUCAGAUGAAUGCACAUGCAGAGCUUCUCGUCGUCGUCAGCGAUUUGUGGGUGGGCAAGCAACAUCCUCUCCCUUUCCUCCUGCAGAACCGCGUAACAUUUUCACACUACACGAGCUCCUUGCACUUGCAGAAUGAGGGGUGUGUGUGUGUCUACUCAAAAUUUCUGCAACUUUCCCUAGGGCAGAACGAGAGAACAUGCUGAAAUGCUCUGGGUAAGGUAAAACAAGAGCCAAAAUGCACAAAAGCAUACUUAGACCUUGUUUAGUUUUACAAAUUUUCUUUUUGUCCCAUCAUAUUGAAUCUCUAGACACUUGUACAUAAAAAAUUACACAAUUUACAUGUGAUUUAUGAGACGAUUUUUUAAGUUUAAUUAAUCUAUGAUUAGAUAUUAAUUGUCAAAUAAAACAAAAAUAUUAUGGUAGUUAAAUCCAAAAAAGUUAACGAACUAAACAAAGACUUAAUAACGAAGCCAUAUUCCUAAAAGGUGGCAGAUGUGGAUCCAUUAUUUCACUGCUUAUCUUCGGUUGAACACAUUAGUUAUAUGUAGGGAUGAAAACGGAUCGGAUACGAACGGAUAUCACUGAUAUCAUAUUUGUUUUUAUAUUUUUGGUCGGAUUCUGUCACACCCGAUUUUAAAGAACAAAACCAGGCUAGCCAUAUGUGUGCCCAGGAAGUCCACACAUACAACAACAGAAGCAAUAAUAUCAAAAACAAUGUUAUAUAGCGGAAACAUACUUAUAAUUAACACUUACAUCAGAGAAUCGUAACACAAUAACUAAUCUUCAGGCUCAAUCUUCACAGGGACGACUGACUGGGGGUAACAUAUGCCUAGCACUUCUUGUAUCCUGAUAACGUCCUUCGUAACUCCUUCGCUCCUCUGAUAACUCUUAGUAGUAUACUGGAGUGGUGGGAAAUAGCAAGAGUGAGCACAUAUCGUACUCAACAAGUAUAACCAAGGGUUCAUGAGGCUCAAAUGGCUGACACUGGUUUAACUGCAUUUAGCUUUUAAUAGUGGAGAGCAUGUUCAUAAUUUAAUAGCAAUUGUCAAGGUAGCAGUAAUAAUCCAUUAAUCACAUGAUCAAGUGUAAGCAUAAUUAAUUAUUAGCAUAAACGAUAAUCAAAUGAACAUAACAACUUAACAAGCUCAUCGUCGUCGCAGCAAGAACCCCCAAGGCCGCUCUUAACCGUGAGCACGGCUAGUAUACUAGUUUUAACACUCUGCAGAGGUUGUACAUCUUUACCCAUGAGUCAUGAUUUACCCUUUCGCCCGAGGUGAUCAGCCUCUUAACCCACUCCCAAGGAAGGUCGGCAGGGAUCACUAUGAAGCCUUUCAAAAGUUCGUCUAACAUGUUAGGGCCGCAAGGUUUCCUUUGCGAGCAGAUAUAGAUACCCCCCUUCCGAAUGGCACAAUGACGCGCAGCCUAUACACAUAGGGACAGGGGCUCGCACUAUACCCGUGUCGGUUCAGCCCCUCCGCCCUUUCGGGUAACCUCUAACAAGCUAGAAAAGGUCUUCAUACUGAGCUAAAGCCAGAGCCAUUAUAGCCCUCAUGGUUGCACUGUUGUCCCGGUGAUCACUUACAGACAAGAUCUCAUAUAGUUAUUUGUCAUCUUUUAACGUUCAUUGCAUAGCUAUUAAUCAUCUUACAAGAUCAUGGAUUAUAUCAAGCACUAGCACAUCUACACCAAAUGCAUAUCAAGUAGGUAACAAGGAAUCCAGGUAACAAUCAUCUAUGAUUUUGCUAAGGUCGACAAGGUGAUAGCAUGCAUAUGACAUAUAUGUGUAGUUAUAAGUGAAUAGGUAACAAGGAUGAUCCCAAGUUAUACUUGCCUUAAACACUUGCUUAAUCCUCACAUCAUCAGCUUUCUGUCAUCAUCUUCUGAUCUUCAAUGCCCACAAACAGUUCUCGUCUACUCGCAUGAAGCACCACGCAUAGGCAAACAUACAAAGCAACAAAUAAAAGAAACUAAGAACAACACACCAAUCAAAAAAAGAAAGCCUUAAAAGAGAGCGCACUAAACGUUACGGGUCGAUGCUAAGGUUAUGAGAAACGCCGAAAGCAAAACUAUCGUAAUAAAGAAAUGACUACCUGUAGUUUUGGAUAAUUUAAAAGAGACAACAAUGAUCUUAAUAUGUUUUAUUUAAGAACAAUCAUGCGUAACCUACUAAUUCAAAUUAGUCAAAUUAUAUUUUAAUUUUAAAAACAAAGUAGAACUUAUUAUAUUUUAUUUAUGAAUAUAUCUAUUAUAUAAUCGAUAAUCAUAUUUUAAAUAUAGGCAUGCAAGCAUCAUUUUAAUCAAAGUAAACUUUAACUUUUUAAAGAAUAUGUGAGAACAUCUAUUCAAAUUAUACAUGAUACGUGUUGGAGAUGAUCAUAUGUUAUUCAUACAUAAUUUUAUAUCGUUUAUGCCAGUUAAACUUUAACUUAUAAAAUUACGUAACAUGUGAGCACUAAAAUAAGUUUAUGGUAUAUAUCGUGAUUGUCUAAGCAAAAUAUAAUUAAAACAUAUUCAAGUUGCUAUUAAUUAAAUUCAUGCUCACAUAAUUACAAAGGAUAGACAAACCCAUAUUAUUUUAAUUAUAAAACUAACUAUAAGGAUAUUGAGCAAUUAAAUAUUUAGAAAUAUAUAGAAAACAUGUGACAUGAAAAACACUAGCACUAACGCGUAGAUUACAUUGAUAUGAGUCUAAUGCAACUUGAACAAACAAACUCAGAGUUAAAAUGAGUAUUUUAUAGCUAAAACAAGCUAAUGUAUUUUCUCUAUAUUUCUAGAUUUGUUUUUCUAAAGGAAAACGGUGACAAAACUUAUCCACGACAUCACGUAUUCAUGGAGCAAAAAGAAAUUCUAAAUCUGAUUUCUUUUACCACCGAUUAACAAAAGUAAUACAUAAAUGUUGAUUUCUCGCUCGAUCCGCGUGCACUGAAAAUUCUGAAAUUCACCCACAAACCACAGUCCUAAUUACCUUGAUCCAUGUGUGUCGGUGAGAGUGAAAGCCAGAGAACGCAGCGCCGGGCAGCGGUAAUCGGUAACAGCAGCAUGGACUUCCACCUCUGCACAGUACCACCGAUCAACACAGAGGACAACAGUUUCUGCAGUGCGCCGAUUGAUGAAACGGAGGAAAUCGACGAGCAGAUGAAUUCGUCCAACAGCCGAAAAAUACUGUACCCGAUGACGACUGCGGUGGCCAGGAUGGAGUAGGACGGCAUGGCUCUAGGGGAGAUUAGUCGGCACCGGCGGCGGCAGAUACGAUCUAGGGCAAAAGCAAGAGCCUGUUCUGUUGCAAGAUAUAUAUAUAUAUAUAUAUAUAUAUAUAUAUAUAUAUAUAUAUAUGCUAGAAGAUAUGGGCCAUUUUAAGAUCAAAAAGGAGUUGGCUUCCUGGUCUCCCUACGAUAAGACGUCGGACAAAUUGAGCUGCGGUCGGAUGGUGGGUUUGAGCCCAAAUUAGCAAGAAUUUUACACAAAGUAAAAGGGAGCUUUAACAAAAGCAUGACAAACUCAUGGGUGAAUUGGAAGAUGAAUCCAAAUAAAGUAUUUAGAGCUCAUGAAAAGAUAUCUAGGAGCAUCUAGAAAUUAGAUUAUGCUCAGAGUCAAGUGGAAAUAAAUUCCAGGAAAAAUGCUGAAAAUAAUUCUUCAUACGUUUUAAUAGGUCGGUUCAUGGAAGGUGUACCCAAAGGAAUAAUUUAAAAUAGAAUAAAGGGAUAUGGAAACUCUAAAUAAAAAGAUUAAUGAUCAAGAAAGAGAAGACUUGAUUAUAUAGAAAAAAAACUGGAGACACGCCGGAUAGAGAUCAACGACUUACUAAACGCGCUUAUUAAAACUGCACCCGCUCACAACACAAAGUCAAGCGACAAGCAAGCAUCACCUCACAUCAACAAAAGCUCAUCAAGUUAAUUCAAAACAAAUUUGAAAAUUAACAUUCUCCUAUAACUAAAUUUGCAGUGACUCCAAACUAAACUUGGUAAAUUUUAUCCAAAUAUCAAAAUAUAUAUUUUUGUUAAUGUUUUCUACGCACAGCCCAAAAUCAAAAAUUUUGGGGUGUGACAGAUUCGGAUUCGAAUACGGAUAAUAUCAACAAUGUCGGAUAAGAUACGAUUGGAUGUUGACAUCAUAAAUAUACGAUUUAAGUAUUCGGAUACGGAUACGGUAUCGGAUAUUAAACAUUCAGACUCGAAUACGGACAGAUCUCAACCCCUCUAAACGAAUUCGGUCUCGAAUACGGUCGGAAAAUAUCCGUACCAUUUUUAUCCCUAGUUAUAUGACUUUAAUUUUACCGUCGAUGAGAGGGUAAGUGGGCAACACGGUAUAUAUAUAGUAGUAGUGUGUCAGUGUAAGAUUAGACCUUGUUUAGUUUCAAAAAAUUUUCAAAAUUCCUCGUCACAUCAAAUCUUACGGGAUAUGCAUGAAGCAUUAAAUAUAAAUAAAAAAAAGAUAACUAAUUACACAGUUUAUCUAUAAUUUGCAAGACGAAUCUUUUGAUCCUAAUUAGUCUAUAUUUAAAUAAUACUUAUCAAAUAAAGCCGAAACUGCUACAGUAGCGAAACCCAAAUUUUUUCGCGGAUUAAAUAUGUAUAGUAAAAGAAUUGUUACAAUACCUCUCAAAAUCUUUAAAAACACUCAUAGUUGGUAUCACGAACAAAUAUUUUCUGAUUCCUAUGAUUUUCAAUUCAUCGAUUUUUUAUCUUAUUUAUCGCUAAGUAGGUGUGUAGUUUAUUGCAGUUUACUUUAGAGGUGUCCUGUCUAAUUUCUGAUUCAUGUAUUUCUUACGUUUGUCAGUUUACAUACCUAACCCAAGGUUGUUGAUGUCUAUUCACGUACGUGGUAACUUAGGAUGUGUUAGCUAGCUAAUUUCUUAUUCAUGAGCUAAUUGUUAGCGAGCUAAUUGUAGCUAGCUUAAAAUUAGUUCUAGUGUAUCCAAACAUGAGUGCUAAUAGGACUAAUUUUUUAAGCUAAGUUUUCAACUAGUUAGUCAGCUAGCUAGCCAACCAUAGAUAUUUCGAACCAAAUUUUAGCUUAAGUACCAAUAACUAGCCAUGUAUCAAACAAUCCCUAAGUAGUCCAUUCCCCACAGUUGACGUCUUGGCGCCACAUACUUUCUUGGAGGCGUUGUUCUUCGAGCCCCAUGCUCGUAUGCCAUCAUGGCCAGAUUCAAGGGCGAAAGUCCCGUCUUGGGUGUCUCUAAGGCCAAUGCGACGCGUCCAUAGUUUCUAUGAGCGUCCUCCCCUUGCUGAAGUGGCCUUUCUACCGUCGGCUUCUCAGGAGUCCCUGACUAUACCUGUUGUGUUUCAUUUCCACUUGCUUUGGUCUAUUCUGCAGUUGUUGAUAGAGCGAAUCUAGGAUAUUAUGUCACUGGGGUCAAGGACUAAACAACGGGGUCAACACACAUGUUAAUUCUCUAUUUAAAAGAAUAAUUUGCAGGUCGAUUAAAGAGCUUUAAGUGAAUUUUUGGCAAGUUAUCGGGGUCAGCUGACCCCAAUGAAUACACAUAGAUUCGCCUCUGGAUUGUUGACCUUGUCCGCUUGGUCAUCGUUGGUUAUCAUAGUGGUUGCUUAGCUACUAUUGCUGCUCUCUUGGCAGAUGCUUUGCCGCCGUUUAGUUCGUUGGCAGAUGCUCUAAUUUGCUGCUGAUUGGUUUGUUGAUGGAUGCUUUGCCACCCUGUCGUCGACCUCCUUUCUACUAGUUCAUUUGCUACCGAGACUGAUCUGGUUCGUUGGCGGAUGCUUUGCCGCUGUUUUGUUCGUUGACGAAUGCUUUACCGUCGUUGUUGUUGGACGGUCCUCUGUAUUGACGACCACUACAUUGUUGCAUUGCAGGCACAGUUUUAGGUUUUGGGUCUUGAGGAUAGUCGCUCUCCUCUUUGUAUCUUUGUUGUUCCUAUAUUUAUUCUAGAUUACUCAAUAUUAUCUUAGUGGUUUGUAAUCUAUGAGGGUUUUCUUAUAGCUGACUUAUAAUUCACUCCUUUUAAUAAAAAAGUGGGCUAUAUCCCCAAAUCGUGAAAAAAAUAGUUAAAGGGGUGAAGUAGAUUUUUUUUCUCAAAAGAAUAUUGUUGAAUGAAUGACAGGACUUUGAUGAUAUCAAGUUAUCUGCUCCUGAAAACAACUGCUCAAAGGACUAUGGCCUUGUUUAUAUCAAAAAAAAAUUUAGAUACCGUAGCAUUUUUGUUUUUAUUUGACAAAUAUUUUUCAAUCAUGGAGUAGCUAGGUUUAAAAGAUUCGUCUCGCGAUUUACAGGCAAACUAUGCAAUUAGUUUUUAUUUUUAUCUAUAUUUAAUGGUCCAUGCAUGUGCCGCAAAAUUUGAUGUGCAGAAAAUCUUAAAAAGUUUUUGAUUUUUAGGGUGAACUAAGGCCUGGUUUAGUUGGCAAAAAAUUUAGAUUUCGAGUACUGUAACACUUUCGUUUUUAUUUGACAAACAUUGUCCAAUCAUGGAGUAAUAACUAUACUUAAAAGAUUCAUCUCGCGAUUUACAGAUAAAUUGUGUAAUUAAUUUUUAUUUUCAUAUAUAUAUUUAGUGCUCCAUGCAUGUGCCGCAAGAUUCGAUGUGACGGAGAAUCUUAAAAAAAAUUUGGUUUUUGCGGUGAACUAAACAAGGCCAUAUAUUAGUGUGCUGUGUUUCCCCCUACGAAGCAUUGUGGAGUCGUGCUUGAUCCACGUCGUUUGAUCUGGGCGAGGUGCACAAACGUCACAUGGCUCUUCUUGCUACUUCAGUGCAAAGGGAGUGUAUGCAUGCACACAAUAAUGCGGCCUGCGUCUGUGUACGGUAGAAAAAUACUUUAUACAGGAUAUGCAACGACGUGAAUGCUGCACCUGCCCCCUGCCCCUGCCCCUGCCCGCCCUAGUAGCUAUUCACGGCUCUAUCCAUUCCAUUGCCGUGCGUCAACAGGUCCAGACUGGCCCGGGUCCAAGCGAGUGACCAACGCGGGAAGCCUCCCGUCCCUCCCUCCCCCACAUGGGACAUGGCUGCCUGAUGAAUGCCUCUCGCCGCACUGCCCCUGCCCCUGCCCCUGCCCCUGCCCUCACUCCAUCGGAGGGCGGCGGCUUCACGAGAGCCGAGCAGGACCCAGACCCAGCGGGCAUCCGAGGCCCCCACCCCCACCCCCACCCCUUCCUCCGUGUAUAAAAGCGGUGCCAGGGUGAGCGUCUCUCCUCACACUGACUGCACCAGAACAAGAGCUUGAGAGUGAGAGUGAGGAUGAUGGGUGGCAAGGCCGCUCUGCUGCUGGCCCUGGUGGCCGUGACCCUGGCCGUCGUGGAGAUCCAGGCCGACGCCGGCUACGGCUACGGCGGCGGCUACCCGACGCCGACGCCGAAGCCGCCGGCCAAGGGGCCCAAGCCGGAGAAGCCCCCGACCAAGGGCCACGGCCACAAGCCGGAGAAGCCGCCCAAGGAGCACAAGCCGACUCCGCCCACCUACACCCCGAGCCCCAAGCCCACGCCGCCGCCGGCUACUCCCAAGCCGACGCCGCCCACCUACACGCCGAGCCCUAAGCCCAAGUCGCCGGUCUACCCUCCCCCGCCGAAAGCCAGUACUCCUCCGACCUACACCCCGAGCCCCAAGCCUCCGGCGACCAAGCCGCCUACCUACCCGACCCCCAAGCCACCAGCUACCAAGCCUCCGACACCUCCUGUGUACACUCCGAGCCCCAAACCACCGGUUACAAAGCCUCCUACACCCAAGCCGACCCCGCCGGUGUACACGCCGAACCCCAAGCCACCGGUUACCAAGCCUCCGACACACACGCCGAGCCCCAAGCCUCCGACAUCCAAGCCGACUCCGCCGGUGUACACACCGAGCCCCAAGCCACCGAAGCCGUCCCCGCCGACGUACACGCCGACCCCGAAGCCACCGGCUACCAAGCCGCCCACCUCAACUCCGACGCACCCUAAGCCGACGCCGCACACGCCUAUCCCCAAGCCCACGCCGCCAACCUACAAGCCGGCACCGAAGCCGACGCCGCCGGCGCCCACCCCGCCGACAUACACGCCGCCGGUGUCGCACACCCCCAGCUCGCCGCCGCCGCCGCCGCCGCCGCCUUACUACUAGACGAAGAAGUGAUGAGGUCUCCCACUCUGCUGUCAGUCUCGGAGCAUUUAGGUACGUGCUACAAGAAUGGAGCAUGCACAUACAUACAUACAUACAUACAUUUUCUAUAUAUGCUUGUGUCAAAUGUAUCAUACUGUACUCACUAACAAUCGGUUCCGUUUUUUUGUGUUGCAGAAGGUGAUCGAUCGAAGAGUUUGUGUCCUAGCCAGCCGGCCAAGAUGAGCUGCUGAU